Molecule: ribosomal RNA, 779 nt
Filed under: uncultured bacterium
Lineage: Bacteria
Description: bacterial SSU rRNA
Rfam family: Bacterial small subunit ribosomal RNA
Source: RNAcentral
AGAGUUUGAUCAUGGCUCAGGACGAACGCUGGCGGCGUGCUUAACACAUGCAAGUCGAACGAGAUCCAUUCAGUAGCAAUACUGAUGAAGAUCUAGUGGCGAACGGGUGCGUAACACGUGAGGAACUUGUCCCGGUCUCUGGGAUAACAGUUGGAAACGACUGCUAAUACCGGAUGACGUCGGAACUUCGCAUGGAGUACUGACGAAAGGGUUACUGGAUCGGGAGAGCCUCGCGGCCUAUCAGCUUGUUGGUGGGGUAACGGCCUACCAAGGCAUCGACGGGUAGCUGGUCUGAGAGGAUGAUCAGCCACACUGGGACUGAGACACGGCCCAGACUCCUACGGGAGGCAGCAGUGGGGAAUCUUGCACAAUGGGCGAAAGCCUGAUGCAGCAACGCCGCGUGCGGGAAGAAGGCCCUCGGGUUGUAAACCGCUUUCAGAAGGAACGAAACUGACGGUACUUUCAGAAGAAGGUGCGGCCAACUACGUGCCAGCAGCCGCGGUGACACGUAGGCACCAAGCGUUGUCCGGAUUUAUUGGGCGUAAAGAGCUCGUAGGCGGUUCAGUAAGUCGGGUGUGAAAACUUUGGGCUUAACCCAAAGCGUGCAUCCGAUACUGCUGUGACUUGAGUUCGGUAGGGGAGCGGGGAAUUCCUAGUGUAGCGGUGAAAUGCGCAGAUAUUAGGAGGAACACCGGUGGCGAAGGCGCCGCUCUGGGCCGAAACUGACGCUGAGGAGCGAAAGCAUGGGUAGCAAACAGGAUUAGAUACCCUAGUAGUCC